CCUACGGGAGGCAGCAGUGGGGAAUAUUGGGCAAUGGACGCGAGUCUGACCCAGCAACGCCGCGUGAAGGAAGAAGGCUUUCUGGUUGUAAACUUCUUUUAAUGGGGCAGAACAGCGUCCGAUACCCCUUGCCUCGUCCGCAGCUCACUACUUGCCAUCGGCCGCGGUCAUGCGUAGGUGGCCAGCGUUGUCCGGAGUUCCUGGGUUUAAAGGGCGUGCAGCCGGAGAGACAAGUCAGAUGUGAAAUCCACGGGCUCAACCCGUGAACUGCAGUUGAAACUGUUGCCCUUGAGUGUCGGAGAGGUAAGCGGAAUUCCUGGUGUAGCGGUGAAAUGCGUAGAUAUAAGGAAGAACACCAGUGGCGAAGGCGGAGUACUGGACGAUAACUGACGGUGAGGCGCGAAAGCGUGGGGAGCAAACAGGAUUAGAUACCCUAGUAGUC
This 442-nucleotide ribosomal RNA is filed under the name uncultured bacterium. Its description in RNAcentral is "partial 16S ribosomal RNA". It matches the Rfam family "Bacterial small subunit ribosomal RNA", at positions 338 to 795 of the family's 1533-position model. The record is from RNAcentral.